UCUCAAGAAUACCCCAGCCUUCUUUGCAGAGAGGCUCAACAAGGCCAUGAGGGGAGAUACUUCAGGGGAUUACCGGAAGAUUCUGCUGAAGAUCUGUGGUGGCAAUGACUGAACAGUGACUGGUGGCUCACUUCUGCCCACCUGCCGGCAACACCAGUGCCAGGAAAAGGCCAAAAGAAUGUCUGUUUCUAACAAAUCCACAAAUAGCCCCGAGAUGCACCGUCCUAGAGCCUAGGCCUGUCCUCCACCCCUCCUGACCCGUAUAGUGUGCCACAGGACCUGGGUCGGUCUAGAACUCUCUCAGGAUGCCUUUUCUACCCCAUCCCUCACAGCCUCUUGCUGCUAAAGUAGAUGUUUCAUUUUUCUGACUCAUGCAA
RNAcentral lists this small RNA (377 nucleotides) under Pongo abelii (Sumatran orangutan). Its description in RNAcentral is "processed transcript". The record is from RNAcentral. Lineage: Eukaryota; Metazoa; Chordata; Mammalia; Primates; Hominidae.